CAAAUUAGAGCUUGUUAAAGUAUUUCAUUUACAUUGAAAAGAAAUUAUUAAUUAAUUUGA
RNAcentral lists this transfer RNA (60 nucleotides) under Aeromachus inachus. RNAcentral's name for it is "tRNA-Val". Lineage: Eukaryota; Metazoa; Arthropoda; Insecta; Lepidoptera; Hesperiidae. The record is from RNAcentral.